RNAcentral lists this ribosomal RNA (1329 nucleotides) under uncultured bacterium. RNAcentral describes it as "bacterial SSU rRNA". It matches the Rfam family "Bacterial small subunit ribosomal RNA", at positions 28 to 1381 of the family's 1533-position model. The record is from RNAcentral.
GAUGAACGCUGACAGAAUGCUUAACACAUGCAAGUCUACUUGAUUCUUCGGGUGAUGGUGGCGGACGGGUGAGUAACGCGUAAAGAACUUGCCCUGCAGUCUGGGACAACAUUUGGAAACGAAUGCUAAUACCGGAUAUUAUGCGAGAUUCGCAUGUUUCUCGUAUGAAAGCUAUAUGCGCUGCAGGAGAGCUUUGCGUCCUAUUAGCUAGUUGGUGAGGUAACGGCUCACCAAGGCGAUGAUAGGUAGCCGGCCUGAGAGGGUGAACGGCCACAAGGGGACUGAGACACGGCCCUUACUCCUACGGGAGGCAGCAGUGGGGAAUAUUGGACAAUGGACCAAAAGUCUGAUCCAGCAAUUCUGUGUGCACGAUGAAGUUUUUCGGAAUGUAAAGUGCUUUCAGUUGGGACGAAGUAAGUGACGGUACCAACAGAAGAAGCGACGGCUAAAUACGUGCCAGCAGCCGCGGUAAUACGUAUGUCGCAAGCGUUAUCCGGAUUUAUUGGGCGUAAAGCGCGUCUAGGCGGUUUGGUAAGUCUGAUGUGAAAAUGCGGGGCUCAACUCCGUAUUGCGUUGGAAACUGUCAAACUAGAGUACUGGAGAGGUGGGCGGAACUACAAGUGUAGAGGUGAAAUUCGUAGAUAUUUGUAGGAAUGCCGAUGGGGAAGCCAGCCCACUGGACAGAUACUGACGCUAAAGCGCGAAAGCGUGGGUAGCAAACAGGAUUAGAUACCCUGGUAGUCCACGCCGUAAACGAUGAUUACUAGGUGUUGGGGGUCGAACCUCAGCGCCCAAGCUAACGCGAUAAGUAAUCCGCCUGGGGAGUACGUACGCAAGUAUGAAACUCAAAGGAAUUGACGGGGACCCGCACAAGCGGUGGAGCAUGUGGUUUAAUUCGACGCAACGCGAGGAACCUUACCAGCGUUUGACAUCCUAGGAAGUUGGCAGAGAUGCCUUCGUGCCCCUUCGGGGGAACCUAGUGACAGGUGGUGCAUGGCUGUCGUCAGCUCGUGUCGUGAGAUGUUGGGUUAAGUCCCGCAACGAGCGCAACCCCUUUCGUAUGUUGCCAUCAUUAAGUUGGGAACUCAUGCGAUACUGCCUGCGAUGAGCAGGCGGAAGGUGGGGAUGACGUCAAGUCAUCAUGCCCCUUAUACGCUGGGCUACACACGUGCUACAAUGGGUAGUACAGAGAGUCGCUAACCUGCGAGGGGGAGCUAAUCUCAGAAAACUAUUCUCAGUUCGGAUUGUACUCUGCAACUCGAGUACAUGAAGUUGGAAUCGCUAGUAAUCGCAGAUCAGCUAUGUUGCGGUGAAUACGUUCUCGGGUCU